Molecule: ribosomal RNA, 914 nt
Filed under: uncultured marine archaeon
Lineage: Archaea
Description: bacterial SSU rRNA
Rfam family: Archaeal small subunit ribosomal RNA
Source: RNAcentral
UUCCGGUUGAUCCUGCCGGACCUGACUGCUAUCGGAUUGAUACUAAGCCAUGCGAGUCUUUGUAGUAAUACAAGGCAGACGGCUCAGUAACACGUAGUCAACCUACCCUAUGGACGAGAAUAAUCUCGGGAAACUGAGCAUAAUUCUUGAUAGAUCAUAAUGCCUGGAAUGGUUUAUGGUUAAAAUGAUUCGUCGCCAUAGGAUGGGACUGCGGCCUAUCAGCUUGUUGGUGAGGUAAUGGCCCACCAAGGCGAUUACAGGUACGGGCUCUGAGAGGAGAAGCCCGGAGAUGGGUACUGAGACAAGGACCCAGGCCCUAUGGGGCGCAGCAGGCGAGAAAACUUUGCAAUGUGCGAAAGCACGACAAGGUUAAUCCGAGUGAUUUCUGCUAAAGAAAUCUUUUGCCAGUCAUAAAACCACUGGUGAAUAAGGGGUGGGCAAGUUCUGGUGUCAGCCGCCGCGGUAAAACCAGCACCUCAAGUUGUCAGGAUGAUUAUUGGGCCUAAAGCAUCCGUAGCCGGCUUUGUUAGUUUUCGGUUAAAUCCAUGUGCUCAACGCAUGGGCUGCCGAAAAUACUGCAGGGCUAGGGAGUGGGAGAGGUAGACGGUACUCAGUAGGAAGGGGUAAAAUCCUUUGAUCUAUCGAUGACCACCUGUGGCGAAGGCGGUCUACCAGAACACGUUCGACGGUGAGGGAUGAAAGCUGGGGGAGCAAACCGGAUUAGAUACCCGGGUAGUCCCAGCUGUAAACGAUGCAGACUCGAUGAUGCAUUGGCAUAUAGCCAGUGCAGUGUCGCAGGGAAGCCGUUAAGUCUGCCGCCUGGGAAGUACGUACGCAAGUAUGAAACUUAAAGGAAUUGGCGGGGGAGCACCACAAGGGGUGAAGCCUGCGGUUCAAUUGGAUUCAACGCCGGG